GCAAAGUUUAGUAGGUCAAGAGCUAUUAAUGCGCUCUUUUUUUGCAAGUGCAAUCAGCUGUCAUGCUUCACUAGCAACCCAUAACAAACGGUUAACUCACAGAUGGGCGUUGUUGUUGUUCGUGGUGUCCAUGCUGCUGCUGUUGUAGUUGUUGUUGGGAAAGCGGGAGUUUCGAGUUCUUUGGUUCGUUGGAGAGGGGAAGAGAAAGAGAGCGCCGUCGCUGAGCGAGGGAGUGAAUCACUGCGCUGGCUGACAUUCUAAUUGGAUUCCUGCUUAUCGACAAUCCGCGUCCGAAGCAAACCCGAAAAUGCGCACAGCACGACGUCUUGAAGGCUGUCUUCCCGCCGAUUUGUGCGAAUAUAUAACAUCCGGGUAUUUUUUUACAUUUUAUAGCGACUCCGAUUCGUCAAGCAGAACGUACACAACUGUAAAUUUGGCGAUGGUAGCGCACAGCUGAUUGCAGCUAUCGACC
Drosophila melanogaster (fruit fly) is the source of this 472-nucleotide non-coding RNA. The record is from Ensembl. NCBI's taxonomy places the organism in Eukaryota, Metazoa, Arthropoda, Insecta, Diptera, Drosophilidae.